RNAcentral lists this transfer RNA (89 nucleotides) under compost metagenome. RNAcentral describes it as "tRNA-Pro". The record is from RNAcentral.
GCGCUCGUCGCGGUGCUGGCGCUGCAGCCGCGGUCGGCGCGCGGACCGGUCGCCCGGUGGGCCCCGCGGGUCGCGGCCGCGCUGGUGCU